UUCCCUCUCUCUCCCUCUGACCUCUCUCUUUCUGAGUUUCUGUCACUUCUCUCUCUCUCUCUCUCAUUUCUCUUUCGUCGUUCUUCUUCCUUUCAAUCACACUCGCCAAGUAGCAGCAGCAGCAGGAACUUGCCAAACCCCACCUUACUCCUCUUCCUUCUUCUUCCCCGCCAUUUCCACAUACCUGUGAAGUUUGAUGAAUGGAAGAGAAGAGAAGAACAGAGAAAGCGAAGAAGAAGGAGAAGCUGUAAUGGAAAGUCGUUUUCUGUUAUUACUGUACUGAAUGAAUUAAUUGUACAAACAGAAAGGAGAAUUCUAUUUAUACCACUACUACUAUUAUCUAUUACAACUCACUCACAUACUUAUAAUUUAACACCAUUUAACACCCCCCCACAAACUGGGGAGUAGAUGUUCAAUAUACCCAGUUUGGACAGUAAGAACUGCAUCCUGGGAGCAGCUAAUCCCUUGGUAAAGAUGUCCGCCAGCUGCGUUUCUGUUGACACAUACUUGAGUUGCACUAAUCCUGACUCAAUUCGUUCACGAAUCACGUGACAAUCGAUCUCUAUGUGCUUAGUACGUUCGUGAAAUACAGGAUUGUGUGCAAUGUGGAUUGCUGACUGAUUGUCGCAAUACAGUUGCAUUGGACUAUUGUGAGGAACUCCCAAGUCUGCCAACAGCACCUUCAUCCACUGAACCUCACAACACAACGAUGCAAUUGCCCUGUACUCAGCUUCUGAUGAAGAUCUAGAGACAGUGCUCUGCUUCUUAGUUUUCCAUGAAACCAACGAACUACCUAGAAACAGGCAGUACCCCGUAGUUGAUCUUCUCGUAUCUGGGCAACUUGCCCAAUCUGAAUCACAGUAUCCAUGAACUUCCAGGUUACUAUCUUUCCUGAAGUAUAAACCUUGACCUGGAGACCCUUUCAAAUAUCUAAUGACCUUAUAUGCAGCCUUGAGAUGUGUAUCUGUUGGUUUAGCCUGAAACUGAGCCAGCUGCUGCACUGCAUAACAAAUGUCAGGUCGUGUAAUUGUGAUAUAGUGCAAUCUUCCAAUUAUCUGCCUGUAUUGAGUGAUGUCUUCCAGUGGAUUUCCCUCAUCUGCUUUCAGUUUUUCCUUAUAGUCAAGUGGGGUCUUUGUGGGUUUCCCAUCCAGUAGACCAGCUUCUGAGAUCAUCUCCAGGCAGUAUUUACGUUGACACAUGGAGAUUCCAUUCUUUGUUCUGGCAAUCUCAAGUCCUAGGAAGUAUUUCAAGGGCCCCAUGUCUUUCACCUUAAAGUGUUUCUGCAACUUUCCUUUGAUCUCUUCCAUCAGGGUGAGGUCAUUUCCAGCUAGGAUAAUAUCAUCUACAUAAACCAAUAAUACCAGCAUGGAAUUUCCUGAUGAGUAAUUGAAAAGUGAGUGAUCUGAGUCAGAUUGUUUAAAUCCUUCCUGCUUAAGCGCUUUGGUGAACUUGAUGAACCACAUUCUGCUUGCUUGCUUCAAACCAUACAAGGACUUUUGCAGCUUGCACACCUGUCUUCCAACUCCUUUGGUCUCAUAGCCCUUUGGUAUGUCCAUGUACACUUCCUCAUCCAAGUCUCCAUGAAGGAAUGCAUUGCUCACAUCCAUUUGGUGCAGAUGCCAAUCCUUCACGGCAGCUACAGCAAGCAGUGUUUUCACAGAAGUAAUCUUUGCCACUGGUGAGAACGUGUCUGUGAAAUCCACCCCAUACACUUGUGUGUACCCUUUUGCAACUAAGCGUGCCUUGUAUUUGUCUAUGCUUCCAUCUGGAUUAUACUUGAUCCGGUAUACCCACUUGCAUCCUACGGGCCUUACCCCUGACGGCUUAUCAGUAACUGUCCAUGUCCCAUUUGCCUCGAGAGCUUGCAUUUCCUCCAUCAUGGCUCUCCUCCAGUGGGGAGAUUUGACGGCUUCUUCAAAGGUUUGUGGCUCAGAUUCAAGAGAGAUGGACAAAGAAAAAACUCUGUGAGUUGGUGAAAGGAAAUCAUAACACAGAUACUUAUGCAUGGGAAAAGAUGAGUAUUCUUCAAUAAUAGGUUUUGUUGAACUGAGGAGAGAACAAUGGUAAUCUUCUAGAUAUUUUGGAGGUCUAGUGACUCGUGUUGGUCUUUUGCAGGGGAGAGUAGGAUUAAUGUAGGUAUGAGAUUGAGUAUGUUGAGGGGUAGGUGUGGAAUCUGUGUUGAUGGUCUUUGUUUGGGGAGUUUUUCUUGUGUUUGAAGGUGAUCUGGAAUCUGUAGUGAUGGUGAUGUCUGGUUGAGGAUGGUCACUUGAAUUUGCGGGAGGAAUAUUCAUAUCAACAUCAUCAGGAGGGGAGAGUGAGUCAAGGGUAAUGGGAAUUAUGGACUGGUCUGUAUUGGUGGUAGUUGUUGGGGAUAGAUCAGGCUCUCUAUAGGGAAGGAUCAUUUCAUGAAACACAACAUUCCUGGAAACAAUGACCUUUUGGUUAGCUAAGUCUAAUAGCUUGUAACCUUUUAUCCCAUUCUGGAAACCUAUGAACACACAGGGAGUGGAUCUGGGAGCAAAUUUGGUGCGGUUGUGGGACAAGGUGCUAGCAUAUGAUAGACAGCCAAAGAUACGUAAGUGAUCAUAAGACGGUUUGACAUUAUAUAGAGUUUCAUAUGGGGAAAGGUUAUUAAGAACAGGAGUUGGAAGUCUGUUGAUUAAGUAACAGGCAUGUAAGACACAGUCCCCCCAGAAUCUGAGAGACAAACCACUUUGGAAUCGUAGGGAACGAGCAACAGCUAAGAGAUGCUGAUGUUUGCGUUCAACUCGUCCAUUUUGGGGAGCGAUGGAAACACAACUUUGCUGAUGAAUAAUGCCAUGUGUAGCAAAGAAAGAGUCCAUUUUAAACUCUGCACCCUGAUCAGAUCGAAUGAUCUUAACAGAAACUGAGAAUUGAGUAGAUACCAUAGAACAAAAGGAUUUAACAAUCUCUCGAGUUUCACUUUUAUGUUUCAUGAGAAAUAUCCACACACAACGACUGAAAUCAUCAAGGAUAGUAAGAAAAUAACUAUGACCAUCAUGAGUAGGAGUAUGUAAUGGUCCCCAAAUAUCCAUAUGGACUAAUGAAAAAGGAGAAUCAGCUCUGGAAUGGCUCUUGUUAAAGGGAAGGGUUUUUUGUUUAGCAAGGUGGCAAGUAAUGCAGUGAGAAGAUGAAGGAAGGGUGAUGGAAGGUUGAGCCUGGUGGAUGAGUUGAAGUCUCCCUAGGGAUGGAUGCCCUAGUCUGCAAUGCCAAACAUCCAAAGAAUGAGGGUGAAGGUUAAAGACAGCUGCAGCAGCAAUGUUAGAAGAAAUGAGGGAAACAAAGGCAGUAGUGUGGAUGGCGGGUAAAAGGUAUAAACCUCUACUUUCUUGGGCUAAACCAAUCGUCUUCUGUGAGGGAAGGGCCUGAAUAUGACACUGAUGUGAUGAAAAAGCAACAGAAACAGGUGAUUGUUGCGUGAGGCAGCUAACAGAAAGAAGGUUGAAAGAAAAACAGGGAAUGUAUAACACAUUAUGCAAAGACAGGCCACAUGGCAAUAUUACCAACCCAGAAUGAGUAGCAAGAACACUUUUGCCAGUAGGUAAGGUGACAGGAAUGGGAGAAAUGACAUUCAGAUGAGAGAAUAGGUGAGAUGAACAGGCAAUAUGACUACUAGCUCCUGUAUCCACUAUCCAGUAACUAGAAAGGGGUUGAGAUGUAAGAGUGGAAAGGGAGUAGGUACCUGAUGAUGUAGAUGAUGCAGGAAUGGUGGUGGUGAUUAGGUUGGCAUAAGUGGCUUGGGAUUGAGGCUGUGGCAUGGCUGUUUGCUGGAGGAGUAUUCGAAGUCGUGCAAGCUCUGAGGAGGACAAGGACAUGGACGUAUCUGAUGAACUUUCAGAAGCAGAACGAUAGUCUGGAGUUGAGUAACCAUGGGAAGACUGACAGUCAUUAUCAAGGCUAUGGUGAACAUCACCAGAAGCAGCACCAGCAAAUCGAUUGAAACCAUUUCCACCACCAUUACUCGCUUCACGAGCCUUUUUGUUCUUUAAUUUCAUACAUGUUUCAAUGUUAUGAUUGUCCUUCUUACAAUAUCUACAAAAUAGAGGCUGUUUUUCACCAGAAUCUCUAUUUCUUCCAUUUCCAGCAUAGUUAGUUGCAGCAAGAGCAAUAGAAUCUACAGAUCUAACCACAUUUCCUUUCAUCUGACGUUCCAUCUGAACAGCGAAUUUGAAUGCAGUAUUAAUGUCAGGCAAAGGAUCCAUUAACAGCAACUGAGAUCGUACUACAUCAUAGCUUUCAUUCAAUCCUCGAAUGAAACGGAUCACAUGAUCUUGCUCUUGAUACAGCAGCAUUUUAGAGAUGACUUUGCAAGUCGAAACUCGAUUAGGAUUGCAUUCACACAGAGGAAUUGGUCUAUAUUGAACGUAUUCCUCCCAUAGAACCUUAAGAUUGGUGAAAUACUGAGUAAUCGUUGUCUGACCUUGAUCACAGGAUGCAAUCCGUGAUUGCAAAUCAGCGAUUCGGAUUGCGUCGCACUGGCGGAAUCGUUGAUUGAGAUCGUUCCAAGCAGCUGCUGCAUUAUCAUAAGAAAUAAGACUCUGCGCGAUGUCUUCUGACACAGAGUUCAGAAUCCAGUUCAGAACUGCGAAGUUGCAUCGGAUCCAAGCUUGAUAUGAGGCAUCCUGAACUUCUGGAGCUGGAUAUGAUCCAUCAAUGAAGCUUAGCUUGUUUUUGAUACUCAGGGCUACAUUCAUGGAUCUGCUCCACACAUGAAAGUUAUCAUUUGUCAACUUUACUCCGACGAUCGGAGAUGAGAGAUUAUCGCUGGGAGACAAGAACAACGGAUUCGCGAAGUGAUCGGUGUAGUUUGAAGGAUGAGCAGAACUGAGUGUAGAAAGGAUUGAUGAUGAUUGUGUUGAUGAAGUCAUGACGAAAUCAGCUCAACAAUGGAGGCUCUGAUACCAUGUGAAGUUUGAUGAAUGGAAGAGAAGAGAAGAACAGAGAAAGCGAAGAAGAAGGAGAAGCUGUAAUGGAAAGUCGUUUUCUGUUAUUACUGUACUGAAUGAAUUAAUUGUACAAACAGAAAGGAGAAUUCUAUUUAUACCACUACUACUAUUAUCUAUUACAACUCACUCACAUACUUAUAAUUUAACACCAUUUAACAUACCGCAAUAUCUCCUCCCUACUUUCUUAACCGUUUUCAACAAAUUUCAUGACCGUUGAUUGACCCCCCACCUAUCCACCAAAAACUGCCUGCAUUGCCGCUUAACCCUUCGAUUAUGCUUUGAUCCGGCGCUUUCUCGACUACCCAUUUCUCAAAUUUUUGAUCGCCUUUCAGAUCUGGGUAUUCCGCAAUCUCUAACUAUUUUAAUGGCG
This 5337-nucleotide long non-coding RNA is filed under the name Linum usitatissimum (flax). RNAcentral describes it as "long non-coding RNA (LUSI_LNC003643)". The record is from RNAcentral. Lineage: Eukaryota; Viridiplantae; Streptophyta; Magnoliopsida; Malpighiales; Linaceae.